This 82-nucleotide transfer RNA is filed under the name candidate division WOR-1 bacterium RIFOXYA2_FULL_37_7. RNAcentral describes it as "tRNA-Leu". It matches the Rfam family "tRNA". Rfam says of the family: Transfer RNA (tRNA) molecules are approximately 80 nucleotides in length. Their secondary structure includes four short double-helical elements and three loops (D, anti-codon, and T loops). Further hydrogen bonds mediate the characteristic L-shaped molecular structure. tRNAs have two regions of fundamental functional importance: the anti-codon, which is responsible for specific mRNA codon recognition, and the 3' end, to which the tRNAs corresponding amino acid is attached (by aminoacyl-tRNA synthetases). tRNAs cope with the degeneracy of the genetic code in two manners: having more than one tRNA (with a specific anti-codon) for a particular amino acid; and 'wobble' base-pairing, i.e. permitting non-standard base-pairing at the 3rd anti-codon position. Lineage: Bacteria; Bacillati. The record is from RNAcentral. RNAcentral also lists the same sequence under 2 other names.
GCCGCGGUGGCGGAACUGGCAGACGCGCAUGAUUCAGGUUCAUGUGGAUAACACCUUGGGAGUUCAAAUCUCCCCCGCGGCA